CUCUUCUCAGGGUCGCACCUGGAGAGUUUCCAGUACUCUACCAGACUCAGCUACGAGAGGGAGAGUCAAGCAGAGGCCUAACCAUUCUAUUCCUAACUUGUCCAGUGGCUAGCCAGUGGAAGGCAAUCUGCUUCAAGU
Ornithorhynchus anatinus (platypus) is the source of this 138-nucleotide small nucleolar RNA. The record is from RefSeq and is a predicted model, not a curated record. NCBI's taxonomy places the organism in Eukaryota, Metazoa, Chordata, Mammalia, Monotremata, Ornithorhynchidae.